GUCCUCGUGGUUUAAUGGAUAGAACGCUGGCCUCCGAAGCCGGAAAUGCGAGUUCGAUUCUCGCCGAGGACA
RNAcentral lists this transfer RNA (72 nucleotides) under Candidatus Liptonbacteria bacterium. Its description in RNAcentral is "tRNA-Arg". It matches the Rfam family "tRNA". Rfam says of the family: Transfer RNA (tRNA) molecules are approximately 80 nucleotides in length. Their secondary structure includes four short double-helical elements and three loops (D, anti-codon, and T loops). Further hydrogen bonds mediate the characteristic L-shaped molecular structure. tRNAs have two regions of fundamental functional importance: the anti-codon, which is responsible for specific mRNA codon recognition, and the 3' end, to which the tRNAs corresponding amino acid is attached (by aminoacyl-tRNA synthetases). tRNAs cope with the degeneracy of the genetic code in two manners: having more than one tRNA (with a specific anti-codon) for a particular amino acid; and 'wobble' base-pairing, i.e. permitting non-standard base-pairing at the 3rd anti-codon position. Lineage: Bacteria; Candidatus Liptoniibacteriota. The record is from RNAcentral.